This 220-nucleotide non-coding RNA is filed under the name uncultured Comamonas sp. The record is from RNAcentral. Lineage: Bacteria; Pseudomonadati; Pseudomonadota; Betaproteobacteria; Burkholderiales; Comamonadaceae.
AACAGGUGCUCGGGUUCACUCCCGGGUUAAACGGGAACAGGGUGCAAUGCCCUGGCUGCCCCCGCAACGGUAAACAGAUAAAUCCGACUCGAGGCUCUUGCAUGCAGUGCAAUGGCCAGCCACUGAUGUUUUACGUGGCCUCAACAUGAGGUGCGCGGCAACAUUGGGAAGGCGAGCGGCAAGCCCAAAGCCAUCUGUGAGCCCGGAUACCGGCCUGUUU